Molecule: transfer RNA, 72 nt
Filed under: Rhodocollybia butyracea
Lineage: Eukaryota; Fungi; Basidiomycota; Agaricomycetes; Agaricales; Omphalotaceae
Rfam family: tRNA
About the family: Transfer RNA (tRNA) molecules are approximately 80 nucleotides in length. Their secondary structure includes four short double-helical elements and three loops (D, anti-codon, and T loops).
Source: Rfam by way of RNAcentral
GGCCCUGUGGUGUAGUGGUUAACACCCUUGGUAGAUAUCCAAGUGACCUGGGUUCGAAUCCCGGCAGAGCUG